AGUGAACGCUGGCGGUAGGCCUAACACAUGCCAGUCGAACGGCAGCACAGUAAGAGCUUGCUCUUACGGGUGGCGAGUGGCGGACGGGUGAGGAAUACAUCGGAAUCUACUUUUUCGUGGGGGAUAACGUAGGGAAACUUACGCUAAUACCGCAUACGACCUACGGGUGAAAGCAGGUGAUCUUCGGACCUUGCGCGAUUGAAUGAGCCGAUGUCGGAUUAGCUAGUUGGCGGGGUAAAGGCCCACCAAGGCGACGAUCCGUAGCUGGUCUGAGAGGAUGAUCAGCCACACUGGAACUGAGACACGGUCCAGACUCCUACGGGAGGCAGCAGUGGGGAAUAUUGGACAAUGGGCGCAAGCCUGAUCCAGCCAUACCGAGUGGGUGAAGAAGGCCUUCGGGUUGUAAAGCCCUUUUGUUGGGAAAGAAAAGCAGCAGGUUAAUACCCCGCUGUUCUGACGGUACCCAAAGAAUAAGCACCGGCUAACUUCGUG
RNAcentral lists this ribosomal RNA (492 nucleotides) under uncultured bacterium. RNAcentral describes it as "partial 16S ribosomal RNA". It matches the Rfam family "Bacterial small subunit ribosomal RNA", at positions 29 to 507 of the family's 1533-position model. The record is from RNAcentral.